GAUGAACGCUGGCGGCGUGCUUAACACAUGCAAGUCGAACGAAGCAUUUAGAACAGAUUAUUUCGGUAUGAAGUUCUUUAUGACUGAGUGGCGGACGGGUGAGUAACGCGUGGGUAACCUGCCUUGUACUGGGGGAUAGCAGCUGGAAAUGGCUGGUAAUACCGCAUAAGCGCACGGUGCUGCAUGGCACAGUGUGAAAAACUCCGGUGGUAUAAGAUGGACCCGCGUCUGAUUGGCUAGUUGGUGAGAUAACAGCCCACCAAGGCGACGAUCAGUAGCCGACCUGAGAGGGUGACCGGCCACAUUGGGACUGAGACACGGCCCAGACUCCUACGGGAGGCAGCAGUGGGGAAUAUUACACAAUGGAGGAAACUCUGAUGCAGCGACGCCGCGUGAGUGAAGAAGUAAUUCGUUAUGUAAAGCUCUAUCAGCAGGGAAGAUAGUGACGGUACCUGACUAAGAAGCUCCGGCUAAAUACGUGCCAGCCGCCGCAGUAA
Molecule: ribosomal RNA, 497 nt
Filed under: uncultured bacterium
Lineage: Bacteria
Description: partial 16S ribosomal RNA
Rfam family: Bacterial small subunit ribosomal RNA
Source: RNAcentral